UACGGCAGUAUCAGUUUGAAACACCAGUUCCCGUACGAUCACCGGAGUUGAGCAACGUCAAGCUUGGUCAGUACUUAGAUGGGUGACUGCUAGGUAAUACAA
This is a non-coding RNA of Acanthosepion pharaonis, 102 nucleotides long. The record is from the annotation of a GenBank genome assembly. NCBI's taxonomy places the organism in Eukaryota, Metazoa, Mollusca, Cephalopoda, Sepiida, Sepiidae.